GGAGCCCUGGCGGUAGCUAUGGGUCCAGUUCAAAGGAUUAUGAAAUGCACUGCUUUCACAUCAAAAAGGAAGAAGAAAGGCAAUACUUGCAACCAAUGAUAAAGAGGUAUUCUGACUUUCAUCUGCCUUUGUGUUAAGCGUGAGAGAGCCAGACAGAAUUGCAGCAGGAACCAGAAGGAGCAAAGAAAAAGAUUACUGUUUCUUUUAUAAAAUGGUUUUUAUCCUACUGGUGUCUCUUUAAAAAUAAAAAUCAACAAAUAAA
RNAcentral lists this long non-coding RNA (262 nucleotides) under Homo sapiens (human). RNAcentral's name for it is "non-protein coding lnc-FAM98A-7:1". Lineage: Eukaryota; Metazoa; Chordata; Mammalia; Primates; Hominidae. The record is from RNAcentral.